This 253-nucleotide ribosomal RNA is filed under the name uncultured bacterium. RNAcentral's name for it is "partial 16S ribosomal RNA". It matches the Rfam family "Bacterial small subunit ribosomal RNA", at positions 524 to 776 of the family's 1533-position model. The record is from RNAcentral.
UACGUAGGGUGCAAGCGUUGUCCGGAAUUAUUGGGCGUAAAGAGCUUGUAGGUGGCUCGUUGCGUCGGGAGUGAAAACUCGGGGCUUAACUCCGGGCCUGCAGUGGGUACGGGCAGACUAGAGUGCGGUAGGGGAGACUGGAAUUCCUGGUGUAGCGGUGAAAUGCGCAGAUAUCAGGAGGAACACCGGUGGCGAAGGCGGGUCUCUGGGCCGUAACUGACGCUGAGGAGCGAAAGCGUGGGGAGCGAACGGG